RNAcentral lists this ribosomal RNA (1041 nucleotides) under Salmonella enterica. RNAcentral's name for it is "partial 23S ribosomal RNA". It matches the Rfam family "Bacterial large subunit ribosomal RNA", at positions 1 to 1547 of the family's 2925-position model. The record is from RNAcentral. Lineage: Bacteria; Pseudomonadati; Pseudomonadota; Gammaproteobacteria; Enterobacterales; Enterobacteriaceae.
ACUCCACAUACGCAUCCUUUGCUGAGGAUACGGUUAACGGAGCGAAAGCGACGUUCAACCGCAAAAGAAGCAGAGGGGGCUUAGUGGUGGGGUGACUGCGUACCUUUUGUAUAAUGGGUCAGCGACUUAUAUUCUGUAGCAAGGUUAACCGCAUAGGGGAGCCGGAGGGAAACCGAGUCUUAAUUGGGCGUUAAGUUGCAGGGUAUAGACCCGAAACCCGGUGAUCUAGCCAUGGGCAGGUUGAAGGUUGGGUAACACUAACUGGAGGACCGAACCGACUAAUGUUGAAAAAUUAGCGGAUGACCUGUGGCUGGGGGUGAAAGGCCAAUCAAACCGGGAGAUAGCUGGUUCUCCCCGAAAGCUAUUUAGGUAGCGCCUCGUGAAUUCAUCUCCGGGGGUAGAGCACUGUUUCGGCUAGGGGGCCAUCCCGGCUUACCAACCCGAUGCAAACUGCGAAUACCGGAGAAUGUUAUCACGGGAGACACACGGCGGGUGCUAACGUCCGUCGUGAAGAGGGAAACAACCCAGACCGCCAGCUAAGGUCCCAAAGUCAUGGUUAAGUGGGAAACGAUGUGGGAAGGCCCAGACAGCCAGGAUGUUGGCUUAGAAGCAGCCAUCAUUUAAAGAAAGCGUAAUAGCUCACUGGUCGAGUCGGCCUGCGCGGAAGAUGUAACGGGGCUAAACCAUGCACCGAAGCUGCGGCAGCGACACUAUGUGUUGUUGGGUAGGGGAGCGUUCUGUAAGCCUGCGAAGGUGGCCUGUGAGGGUUGCUGGAGGUAUCAGAAGUGCGAAUGCUGACAUAAGUAACGAUAAAGCGGGUGAAAAGCCCGCUCGCCGGAAGACCAAGGGUUCCUGUCCAACGUUAAUCGGGGCAGGGUGAGUCGACCCCUAAGGCGAGGCCGAAAGGCGUAGUCGAUGGGAAACGGGUUAAUAUUCCCGUACUUGGUGUUACUGCGAAGGGGGGACGGAGAAGGCUAUGUUGGCCGGGCGACGGUUGUCCCGGUUUAAGCGUGUAGGUGUGUGUUCCAGGUAAAUCCGGUU